This 206-nucleotide ribosomal RNA is filed under the name uncultured bacterium. RNAcentral describes it as "partial 16S ribosomal RNA". It matches the Rfam family "Bacterial small subunit ribosomal RNA", at positions 568 to 774 of the family's 1533-position model. The record is from RNAcentral.
UGCGUAGGUGGUUUCUUAAGUCAGAGGUGAAAGGCUACGGCUCAACCGUAGUAAGCCUUUGAAACUGGGAAACUUGAGUGCAGGAGAGGAGAGUGGAAUUCCUAGUGUAGCGGUGAAAUGCGUAGAUAUUAGGAGGAACACCAGUUGCGAAGGCGGCUCUCUGGACUGUAACUGACACUGAGGUGCGAAAGCGUGGGGAGCAAACA